This 334-nucleotide unclassified non-coding RNA is filed under the name soil metagenome. RNAcentral describes it as "partial contains 5.8S ribosomal RNA, internal transcribed spacer 2, and large subunit ribosomal RNA". The stretch from base 1 to 120 matches the Rfam family "5.8S ribosomal RNA", at positions 35 to 154 of the family's 154-position model. The record is from RNAcentral.
GAUGAAGAACGUAGCGAAAUGCGAUAAGUAAUGUGAAUUGCAGAAUUCAGUGAAUCAUCGAAUCUUUGAACGCACAUUGCGCCCGCCAGUAUUCUGGCGGGCAUGCCUGUUCGAGCGUGAUUUCAACCAUCAAGCCCUGCUUGCGUUGGGGUCCUGCGGCUGCCCGCAGGCCCUGAAAACCAGUGGCGGGCUCGCUAGUCACACCGAGCGCAGUAAUACAUCUCGCUUUGGGCGUGCGGCGGGUUCUUGCCGUUAAACACCCCCUUUUUACCAAGGUUGACCUCGGAUCAGGUAGGAAUACCCGCUGAACUUAAGCAUAUCAAUAAGCGGAGGA